Molecule: ribosomal RNA, 458 nt
Filed under: uncultured bacterium
Lineage: Bacteria
Description: partial 16S ribosomal RNA
Rfam family: Bacterial small subunit ribosomal RNA
Source: RNAcentral
CCUACGGGCGGCAGCAGUGAGGAAUAUUGGUCAAUGGGCGGGAGCCUGAACCAGCCAAGCCGCGUGAGGGAAGAAGGUACAGCGUAUCGUAAACCUCUUUUGUCAGGGAACAAAGGCGGGGACUAGUCCCCGGAUGAGGGUACCUGAAGAAAAAGCAUCGGCUAACUCCGUGCCGGCAGCCGCGGUAAUACGGAGGAUGCGAGCGUUAUCCGGAUUUAUUGGGUUAAAGGGGUGCGUAGGCGGAAUGUCAAGUCAGCGGUAAAAAUUCGGGGCUCAACCCCGUCGGGCCGUUAAAACUGAUGUUCUUGGGUGGGCGGGAAGUAUGCGGAAUGCGUGGUGUGGCGGGAAAAUGCUUGGAUAUCACGAAAAACUCCGAUUGCAAGGGCAGUUCACUGGACUGCAACUAACACUGAGGCUCGAAGGUGUGGGUAUCAAACGGACUUGACUCCCCAGUAGUC